RNAcentral lists this ribosomal RNA (478 nucleotides) under uncultured bacterium. Its description in RNAcentral is "partial 16S ribosomal RNA". It matches the Rfam family "Bacterial small subunit ribosomal RNA", at positions 28 to 523 of the family's 1533-position model. The record is from RNAcentral.
GACGAACGCUGGCGGCGUGCUUAACACAUGCAAGUCGAGCGAUGAAGUUCCUUCGGGAAUGGAUUAGCGGCGGACGAGUGAGUAACACGUGGGUAACCUGCCUCAUAGAGGGGAAUAGCCUUUCGAAAGGAAGAUUAAUACCGCAUAAGAUUGUAGUAUCGCAUGAUACAGCAAUUAAAGGAGUAAUCCGCUAUGAGAUGGACCCGCGUCGCAUUAGCUAGUUGGUGAGGUAACGGCUCACCAAGGCGACGAUGCGUAGCCGACCUGAGAGGGUGAUCGGCCACAUUGGGACUGGGACACGGCCCAGACUCCUACGGGAGGCAGCAGUGGGGAAUAUUGCACAAUGGGGGAAACCCUGAUGCAGCAACGCCGCGUGAGUGAUGACGGUCUUCGGAUUGUAAAACUCUGUCUUCAGGGACGAUAAUGACGGUACCUGAGGAGGAAGCCACGGCUAACUACGUGCCAGCCGCCGCGGUAA